RNAcentral lists this ribosomal RNA (621 nucleotides) under uncultured bacterium. Its description in RNAcentral is "bacterial SSU rRNA". It matches the Rfam family "Bacterial small subunit ribosomal RNA", at positions 499 to 1095 of the family's 1533-position model. The record is from RNAcentral.
AACUACGUGCCAGCAGCCGCGGUGACACGUAGGCCCCAAGCGUUGUCCGGAUUUAUUGGGCGUAAAGCGCGCGCAGGCGGACCGCAGCAGUGGCGUGUGGAAUCUCCCGGCUCACCCGGGAGGGGUCAUGCCAGACGGGCGGUCUUGAGGCAAACAGUGGGUCGCGGAACGGGCAGAGUAGGGGUGAAAUCCGUAGAGACUGUCCGGAACACCAGAGGCGAAGGCGGCGACCUAGGUUUGAGAAGCAGUCGCGAGACUGUCCUGACGCUCAGGCGCGAAAGCGUGGGUAGCGAACGGAAUUAGAUACUCCGGUAGUCCACGCCCUAAACGAUGGCCACUCGGUGUCGGGGGUAUCGACCCCCUCGGUGCCUUAGCUAACGCGGUAAGUGGCCCGCCUGGGGACUACGGCCGCAAGGCUAAAACUCAAAGGAAUUGACGGGGGCCCGCACAAGCAGCGGAGCGUGUGGAUUAAUUCGAUGCAACGCGAAGAACCUUACCCAGGUUUGACAUGGCACUGGUAGGGAGGGGGAAACCCGAACGACCCGCAAGGGAGGUGUCACAGGUGCUGCAUGGCUGUCGUCAAGCUUCUGCCCGUGAGGUGUUGGGUUAAGUCCGCAACGA